This 1511-nucleotide ribosomal RNA is filed under the name Klebsiella pneumoniae IS53. RNAcentral's name for it is "SSU rRNA". It matches the Rfam family "Bacterial small subunit ribosomal RNA". Lineage: Bacteria; Pseudomonadati; Pseudomonadota; Gammaproteobacteria; Enterobacterales; Enterobacteriaceae. The record is from RNAcentral.
UUAAAUUGAAGAGUUUGAUCAUGGCUCAGAUUGAACGCUGGCGGCAGGCCUAACACAUGCAAGUCGAGCGGUAGCACAGAGAGCUUGCUCUCGGGUGACGAGCGGCGGACGGGUGAGUAAUGUCUGGGAAACUGCCUGAUGGAGGGGGAUAACUACUGGAAACGGUAGCUAAUACCGCAUAACGUCGCAAGACCAAAGUGGGGGACCUUCGGGCCUCAUGCCAUCAGAUGUGCCCAGAUGGGAUUAGCUAGUAGGUGGGGUAACGGCUCACCUAGGCGACGAUCCCUAGCUGGUCUGAGAGGAUGACCAGCCACACUGGAACUGAGACACGGUCCAGACUCCUACGGGAGGCAGCAGUGGGGAAUAUUGCACAAUGGGCGCAAGCCUGAUGCAGCCAUGCCGCGUGUGUGAAGAAGGCCUUCGGGUUGUAAAGCACUUUCAGCGGGGAGGAAGGCGUUAAGGUUAAUAACCUUGGCGAUUGACGUUACCCGCAGAAGAAGCACCGGCUAACUCCGUGCCAGCAGCCGCGGUAAUACGGAGGGUGCAAGCGUUAAUCGGAAUUACUGGGCGUAAAGCGCACGCAGGCGGUCUGUCAAGUCGGAUGUGAAAUCCCCGGGCUCAACCUGGGAACUGCAUUCGAAACUGGCAGGCUAGAGUCUUGUAGAGGGGGGUAGAAUUCCAGGUGUAGCGGUGAAAUGCGUAGAGAUCUGGAGGAAUACCGGUGGCGAAGGCGGCCCCCUGGACAAAGACUGACGCUCAGGUGCGAAAGCGUGGGGAGCAAACAGGAUUAGAUACCCUGGUAGUCCACGCCGUAAACGAUGUCGAUUUGGAGGUUGUGCCCUUGAGGCGUGGCUUCCGGAGCUAACGCGUUAAAUCGACCGCCUGGGGAGUACGGCCGCAAGGUUAAAACUCAAAUGAAUUGACGGGGGCCCGCACAAGCGGUGGAGCAUGUGGUUUAAUUCGAUGCAACGCGAAGAACCUUACCUGGUCUUGACAUCCACAGAACUUUCCAGAGAUGGAUUGGUGCCUUCGGGAACUGUGAGACAGGUGCUGCAUGGCUGUCGUCAGCUCGUGUUGUGAAAUGUUGGGUUAAGUCCCGCAACGAGCGCAACCCUUAUCCUUUGUUGCCAGCGGUCCGGCCGGGAACUCAAAGGAGACUGCCAGUGAUAAACUGGAGGAAGGUGGGGAUGACGUCAAGUCAUCAUGGCCCUUACGACCAGGGCUACACACGUGCUACAAUGGCAUAUACAAAGAGAAGCGACCUCGCGAGAGCAAGCGGACCUCAUAAAGUAUGUCGUAGUCCGGAUUGGAGUCUGCAACUCGACUCCAUGAAGUCGGAAUCGCUAGUAAUCGUAGAUCAGAAUGCUACGGUGAAUACGUUCCCGGGCCUUGUACACACCGCCCGUCACACCAUGGGAGUGGGUUGCAAAAGAAGUAGGUAGCUUAACCUUCGGGAGGGCGCUUACCACUUUGUGAUUCAUGACUGGGGUGAAGUCGUAACAAGGUAACCG